This 418-nucleotide small RNA is filed under the name Pongo abelii (Sumatran orangutan). RNAcentral describes it as "retained intron". The record is from RNAcentral. Lineage: Eukaryota; Metazoa; Chordata; Mammalia; Primates; Hominidae.
AAGGUCAGACCCUGGAGUUCCUGGUGGCCUCUGUGCCGAAGGCCAUGGACUAUGACCUGCUGCUGCGCUUAGAGCCCCAGGUUAGACCCUGUUAUCUAAUGUGGAGCUGAGCCUCUGGAUGUGGGAGCCUCUCCUCCAUCAUCCUGUUUUCCCAGGUCCCUGAGCAAUGGGCAGAGUUGGAACUGAUUGUGCAGCGUCCAGGGCCUGUGCCUGCCCACAGCCUGUGUGGGCAUUUGGUGGCCAAGGAUGACCGCAUCCAAGGGACUCUGCAACCACACGCCAGGUACAUGAUGUUUCCUAAUCCUGUCUGCCUUGAGCCUGGUAUCUCCUACAAGCUGCAUCUGAAGCUGGUACGGACAGGGGGAAGUGCCCAGCCUGAGACUCCCUACUCUGGACCUGGCCUGCUCAUUGACUCGGU